AUUGAACGCUGGCGGCAUGCCUUACACAUGCAAGUCGAACGGCAGCACGGGAGCAAUCCUGGUGGCGAGUGGCGAACGGGUGAAUAAUGUAUCGGAACGUACCUUUCAGUGGGGGAUAACGUAGCGAAAGUUACGCUAAUACCGCAUAUUCUGUGAGCAGGAAAGCAGGGGAUCGCAAGACCUUGCGCUGAUUGAGCGGCCGAUAUCAGAUUAGCUAGUUGGUGAGGUAAAGGCUCACCAAGGCGACGAUCUGUAGCGGGUCUGAGAGGAUGAUCCGCCACACUGGAACUGAGACACGGUCCAGACUCCUACGGGAGGCAGCAGUGGGGAAUUUUGGACAAUGGGCGCAAGCCUGAUCCAGCCAUGCCGCGUGAGUGAAGAAGGCCU
Molecule: ribosomal RNA, 387 nt
Filed under: uncultured bacterium
Lineage: Bacteria
Description: bacterial SSU rRNA
Rfam family: Bacterial small subunit ribosomal RNA
Source: RNAcentral